GUGGGGAAUUUUGGACAAUGGGCGAAAGCCUGAUCCAGCCAUGCCGCGUGUGUGAAGAAGGUCUUCGGAUUGUAAAGCACUUUAAGUUGGGAGGAAGGGCAGUAAGUUAAUACCUUGCUGUUUUGACGUUACCAACAGAAUAAGCACCGGCUAACUUCGUGCCAGCAGCCGCGGUAAUACGAAGGGUGCAAGCGUUAAUCGGAAUUACUGGGCGUAAAGCGCGCGUAGGUGGUUCAGCAAGUUGGAGGUGAAAUCCCCGGGCUCAACCUGGGAACUGCCUCCAAAACUACUGAGCUAGAGUACGGUAGAGGGUAGUGGAAUUUCCUGUGUAGCGGUGAAAUGCGUAGAUAUAGGAAGGAACACCAGUGGCGAAGGCGACUACCUGGACUGAUACUGACACUGAGGUGCGAAAGCGUGGGGAGCAAACAGGAUUAGAUACCCGGGUAGUCC
This 450-nucleotide ribosomal RNA is filed under the name uncultured bacterium. RNAcentral describes it as "bacterial SSU rRNA". It matches the Rfam family "Bacterial small subunit ribosomal RNA", at positions 354 to 796 of the family's 1533-position model. The record is from RNAcentral.